Molecule: ribosomal RNA, 744 nt
Filed under: uncultured organism
Description: bacterial SSU rRNA
Rfam family: Bacterial small subunit ribosomal RNA
Source: RNAcentral
GACGCUGAGGCACGAAAGCGUGGGGGAGCGAACAGGAUUAGAUACCCUGGUAGUCCACGCUGUAAACUAUGAUCACUCCCUGUNGGCGAUACAUUGUCAAGCGGCUGAGCGAAAGCAUUAAGUGAUCCACCUGGGGAGUACGNCCGCAAGGUUGAAACUCAAAGGAAUUGACGGGGGCCCGCACAAGCGGUGGAACAUGUGGUUUAAUUCGAUGAUACGCGAGGAACCUUACCUGGGCUUAAAUGCAGAACGACGUACCGGGAAACUGGUACUCCCUUCGGGGCGGACUGCAAGGUGCUGCAUGGUUGUCGUCAGCUCGUGCCGUGAGGUGUCGGGUUAAGUCCCAUAACGAGCGCAACCCUCAUUGUUAGUUGCCAGCGAGUAAUGUCGGGGACUCUAACGAAACUGCCGGUUUAAACCGUGAGGAAGGUGGGGAUGACGUCAAAUCGGCACGGCCCUUAUGUCCAGGGCUACACACGUGUUACAAUGGCCAGUACAAAGGGCAGCUACCACGCGAGUGGAUGCUAAUCUCUAAAGCUGGUCUCAGUUCGGAUUGAAGUCUGCAACUCGACUUCAUGAAGCUGGAAUCGCUAGUAAUCGCGCAUCAGCCAUGGCGCGGUGAAUACGUUCCCGGGCCUUGUACACACCGCCCGUCAAGCCAUGGAAGCUUGGGGUACACUGAAGUCCGUAACCGAAAGGAUCGGCCUAGGGUAAGACAAGUGACUGCGGCUAAGUCGUNACAAG